UCUUAGAUGACUGAGAACUAAGUAUUAGACUUUUAAUCUAACCACGGCAUUAAUAUCUAAAUGCCUCUAAGAG
RNAcentral lists this transfer RNA (73 nucleotides) under Littorina brevicula. RNAcentral describes it as "tRNA-Lys". Lineage: Eukaryota; Metazoa; Mollusca; Gastropoda; Littorinimorpha; Littorinidae. The record is from RNAcentral.